AGUGGACGCUGGCGGUAGGCCUAACACAUGCAAGUCGAACGGCAGCACAGUAAGAGCUUGCUCUUACGGGUGGCGAGUGGCGGACGGGUGAGGAAUACAUCGGAAUCUACUUUUUCGUGGGGGAUAACGUAGGGAAACUUACGCUAAUACCGCAUACGACCUACGGGUGAAAGCAGGGGAUCUUCGGACCUUGCGCGAUUGAAUGAGCCGAUGUCGGAUUAGCUAGUUGGCGGGGUAAAGGCCCACCAAGGCGACGAUCCGUAGCUGGUCUGAGAGGAGGAUCAGCCACACUGGAACUGAGACACGGUCCAGACUCCUACGGGAGGCAGCAGUGGGGAAUAUUGGACAAUGGGCGCAAGCCUGAUCCAGCCAUACCGCGUGGGUGAAGAAGGCCUUCGGGUUGUAAAGCUCUUUUGUUGGGAAAGAAAAGCAGCAGGUUAAUACCCCGCUGUUCUGACGGUACCCAAAGAAUAAGCACCGGCUAACUUCGUG
This 492-nucleotide ribosomal RNA is filed under the name uncultured bacterium. RNAcentral describes it as "partial 16S ribosomal RNA". It matches the Rfam family "Bacterial small subunit ribosomal RNA", at positions 29 to 507 of the family's 1533-position model. The record is from RNAcentral.